CCCUUAGAUGUUCUGGGCCGCACGCGCGCUACACUGACGGAGUCAACGAGUUGUCCUGCAUCGGAAGGUGUUGGUAAUCUUUUGAAACUUCGUCGUGCUGGGGAUAGAUCUUUGCAAUUUUCGAUCUUGAACGAGGAAUUCCUAGUAAGCGUGAUUCAUCAGAUCGCGUUGAUUACGUCCCUGCCCUUUGUACACACCGCCCGUCGCUACUACCGAUUGAAUGGUUUAGUGAGGCCUCGGGACUGGCGCGCUCGAGUAGCAAUACACCUGCGCGCCGGGAACUUGGUCAAACUUGAUCAUUUAGAGGAAGUAAAAGUCGUAACA
Molecule: ribosomal RNA, 324 nt
Filed under: uncultured eukaryote
Lineage: Eukaryota
Description: partial 18S ribosomal RNA
Rfam family: Eukaryotic small subunit ribosomal RNA
Source: RNAcentral